CUGCACAGCGUGGCGGCCGGCUACCCGGAGUCGCCCAGCGAGCGGCAGCAGGGGCUGAUGCGCGGCAUGGUGGAGGGGCUGGCGGAGUUCUACCCCUGCGAGGUGUGCCGCGAGCACCUGAGGUGAGGUGAAGGCCUAGGCGACUGGGAGGGGAGGGGAUAAAGCCGUUUAUGUGGAGAACGGAGUGGUUAACAUGACAGUUAUAAAGAGCCGACGUCCAGUGGGAACAGUGGGAACAGCGGGCACAGGGGGUGCAGUGUUCCCAGGCAGAGAGGCAUGAGGGCUGUUCGGCAAGGCGGUUCAGUCGCCGGGAAGACCGGCGGAGCCGAGGGGGUCAGGACUCAGGGAGCUCGAGGGAGCGGUUAGGCCUCAUUGCCAGUGCCUGCCGCAGCCAGCCCACCUGCCAUUCACGACCCCUCCUGGUAACCGCAACCCGCUGUGCCCUACUACGUCCGCCCCACUCGAUGCUCCACCUCCUGCCCCCCUCCCCCACCUCGCCUCCCACCCCCACCCCCACCCCCACCACAAUCGCCACCCCCACCUCCUCACCACCCCCGCCCCCACAACCCCGACCCCCACCUCCUCACCCCCACACACCUCCCAUCAUCACAGGGAGCAGGUGGCCGCCCGCCCGCCCCAGGUGGGGAGCGCACGGGAGCUCAACAUGUGGCUGUGCGGCCUGCACAACGAGGUGGGCGGCCCGCGGCGUGUGUGUGUGUGGGGGGGGGGGGGGAAGGGGCGGGUUGCGUGUGUGUGUGUGCGCUCCUCUCGCUCCAGUCCACACACACGCAUCAUCUGCACUGACUGGCACACACUCAUCACAGCCACGCACGCACGCACGCACGCACGCACGCACGCACGCACGCACGCACGCACGCACGGACGCACGCACGCACGCACACAGUCACACUCACACUCACACACACACACACACACACACACGCCCACGUGCAGGUGAACGAGAUGCUGGGCAAGCCGCUGUUCGACUGCGCGCGUGUGGGCGAGCGCUGGCGGGAGGGGCCGGCCGACGGCUCCUGCGACUGAGCCGCUGGCUGGCGCGGCCGGCCGAGGACUGCUGUAGGGGAGGGGGCUGAAGGGCCGAGGGGGGGGGGGCGGCCUUUGGGGGCCUGCUGAGGCAAGGCGUGCAACUGUGCUGGUGUUUGUGGACGGCUGGGAGGUCGUGAGGGUGAGCGUGGGGUGGGGGAGCAGAGCAGUGGCUGAGGGGCCGGCGAGCAGACCUGCGGACUGCUGGGAGGGCGGCUGAGGGGGCGGGAGGCAGAGGGGGCAGGAGUUGCGCCACAGCGCUUGGGAUUCAGGGAACUGGGGCGACAGGCGGCGCAGGGUAAGGAGGUGGACGUCAGGGAUUUGGCGGUCGACUGGUCGAGUGACGGAAUGAGCCGGCUGUGAACGGGAACAAAAGGCACCCCGGGUUUGGGUGUGUGUUCCACACGCGGGGUUGCGGUAUUGCAUAUGCGGAUGGCGAGGCCCAGGAGAAGACAUACAUAUACAUGUGGGUGUGUGAAUGGGACAGUGUCAAGGCAGGUUGGUAAAGUCCCGUAGGGUGCAGCUGAUUCCCAGAACCCAGCAGAUGACAAACAAUUUGCAACGGCAGGGCAGGAGUACGCGGCCGGUCGAACGCCGGAGUUACUGUACCGACGAGUUGCUGGCUGGCUGGAAGUUUGCUGAUGCGCAUUCCUCACGCUCCGGGCGCCCGGCCAGGCGAUAGCACCACACAGACACACCGCAACGCCACACUCGCGAGGCAGUGCCGCAUCGCACCUGCAGGAAGAUGACCAGCGUCCACGGAUGAGCACCAAAUGCAACACAGAGAAAAUGCAACAGUAUGCAGCAAAGCAGUGGCCGGGCGACAGUAUGACAAGCAGGGGCGAAAACAGGGCGCGGCAAGGCAGAAAAGGGAGCCCGAAUGUACGGAUGAGUGGCGGGCGAGUCGAAUGCGAGUGCGAGACAAACACAACAUCAUAUACAUGUGGGUGAUUGACCUGUUGCCGGUGUCAUUAGCAGGACCUGCUGGUUGAAAUGCCAGACUG
This 2048-nucleotide long non-coding RNA is filed under the name Chlamydomonas reinhardtii. RNAcentral describes it as "long non-coding RNA (CREI_LNC001168)". The record is from RNAcentral. Lineage: Eukaryota; Viridiplantae; Chlorophyta; Chlorophyceae; Chlamydomonadales; Chlamydomonadaceae.